Molecule: non-coding RNA, 3998 nt
Organism: Podarcis lilfordi (Lilford's wall lizard)
Lineage: Eukaryota; Metazoa; Chordata; Lepidosauria; Squamata; Lacertidae
Source: the annotation of a GenBank genome assembly
GGAGGGGUUGAGGGAGGAGUUGUGGAGGUAACCUGAGUAUCUUGUCACCUGGCUGUUUCCUCCUUUUCCCCUCCCCAUGAGUCAUUUCCAGAGGACAAAGGGGAGCUGGCAGUUUCUUGCCCCCAGAGGGAAGAGCUGAACAUUGUCCUUUGUUCCAGUCCAUGUUGAAUCCACUCCCAUAUGCAAGUCCUUUGUGACCUUGAUGGUCUUCUGUCUGGGACCAUCAAGGUUGUCAUGCCAACUGGGUAGGGCUCCUGAGUAUGUGUUGGUACGCUUAAGGGAUUAUGGUCCUGUAUCAAGCCAUCCCCCUUUGACAGUCCUUCCUUCAUGGAGCAAAAUAAAAGUGGACUGGUGUAAAUCCGAUGUACGGUUGAUUUACUAUGAAUUUAUAACAGAAACGUCAUGUAUGUCGUGUGUGAGUGUGUGUGUGUGUCGUGUUUGUACAAACUGAAUGAUUGCCGGGGGGGGGGGUCUGCAACAGACUCCAUGUGGAGUUUCUUGUUGCUGUUCUUGUUUGAGAGAGACAAUAACGUUCUUAUCUUGCUUCUUGUCUGCUCUGCUGUGUACACCUUCCAUGACACAGUAGUGGAAGAUGAACCCUUGGCCCAUGGGGCCCACACACCCUGUUUCGGCCCCUGCAGAGAUUGCAACCCAUUGCUUUGCAUGCAGAAGGUCCCAUGUUCCACCUAUGGCACCUACAGCAAAGAGGAUAAAGCAGCAGCAGUUGAUAGGAAGGUUUCUUCUCUGCUUGAGAUCCUGGAGAGCUGAGGCCUGUCAGAGCAGAAAGUGCUUGGCUAGAUGGACCAAUAGUCUGACUUCUUACAAGGCAGCCGCCUACGUUCCUCAGUUCUAAUUCUGCUUUGCAUUCCAUCCAUGCAGGAAGGUAGAAUGCUAUUUGCCAGAAGCAGGGCCUUUGCAGUGAUGGCUCCAUGGAUGAAGAACAAAUUUCUCCCUUGGAAAUUGAGCGCUAUCUCCUCACCUGGCUUUUGAGGGGGCUGUGAGGCAUAUUCUGACUUUUGGUUUGGCUGGUUAGGAAUUUUGUGUCUCUUAGUUCACUGCUUGUAUUAUCUGGGGGAGAGGGUUAAAAUGGUUUAGCCUUUUUUUGAAAAAGCCACCUUGGAUAAAAUUUAGAAUUGCUUCGGGGCAAACAUGCCAACUUUAAAGUUGUGAUGCCACUUAUUUUUUCACUCGAGGAAAGGUUAAUUUUUUAGUCUCGCAGCUUUUGCUUAUUUUCUCUCUCCAGGUGCUGCUGGUUUCCCAUGUAAUUUAUUUCACUGGAGAUGAACAGCUUGUGCACUUUCCCCUUCAGAUGGCAAAGCAGAAAAGCAAGACUCUGGAUUCUCCUCCCUUCCCCUUAAGGUAUGUUUUGCUUGACACUGACUUCUGCUGUGGUGAGGACUGAGAAUGGGCAAAACUGUCAAUUCUGGUUUCUAAUUUAUCUCUUUCCUCCAACGGUUUGUGAUUUUUUUUUAAAAAAAGGAAGACAUCACAGAAACAUUUGAAUGCAUUUUUGAGCACAUUUCUCUGACUGUAUACAUUUAGGCAUGCAGUUUUGCUCAAUGUACAAAAUUGCGCAAGCAAUUCUGCCCAAUACGAUGCAUCUUUGUAUAUUAUUUUCAACAACACACACAUUUUUUGUACCCAUUUUCAUUGCAUGUUUUUGUGUUGCAAAAUUUGAGGAAGGGUAAAAUUUUGAAAUAUAGUGCUGUUUGGGUGUUGGCUUGGAAAGUUUGAAUUAGGCAAGGAAGUGCAAAUUGGGAAUGAAUUUAUCUCUUAACUGUAGCAAUGACAUAGUGUAGACACCAUUAACUGACCUUUGGGUUUGGGAUCUGGUCUUAUGAACCGACAUUUUAAAUGUGCUUAACACUGGCUGAAUUGUGCCCUUCACUUUGCACUAAAUCAGGAGUCAGCAAACAUUUUCAGCAGGGGGCCAGUCCACUGUUCCUCAGACCUUGUGGGGGGCCGGACUAUAUUUUGAAGAAAAAAAAAUGAUGCAAGAGCACGACAAGCCCCGGUGGCUGCUUAUCUGUGUCUUGCGAGUGGCAGGGGCUGGCGGCAGCGAUGGGACAAUGAGCAGUGCAUGAAAGGGCUCUGGAGAGGGGCUGCUUAAAAUGGCGGCAGCUUGAGCGCUGCUGCUGCUGACACUAACAAAGCCCAGCCCCCUUCCUCCUCUAGGCAGGGCGGGGAGAAGCCAGGAGGAGGGAGGGAGUGAGGCGUGUGAGGGAGAGGGAGGGAGAGGGAAAUAAUGCGUGCGCUGGCGAUCCACGUGGCGAUUCCCAGACCGCCCACGGGCCGGAUCCAGAAGGCAAUUGAGCAAUUGGGACUGAUUGUGCCUUAGUUUGCCUACCCAUGCACUAAAUGGUUAUACUAUUAGAAAUACAUAGAUAAUUAUGAAAUUAUUGUGAGGUUUAAUUAGUUAACUGUUUAUAUUUGGAAGGAGAAAAAUAAUCAUUUCCUUAAUAACAAUUUCCUUAAAAACCAACUUAGACACAUGAAAAACUUAAAACAAAUCCUUAUUUCCUGAUGAAUAGCUUUUGGGCUAUAAUGUAACUUAAAUAGAAUACUAUCUUUAGAAAGAUUUUUUUUCCUCCAAAAGCAUUUUAUUUUAAAAAUCCAAUUUAAAUUAAAAAAAACUGAUUUAAAUUUUAAAAAAUCCGUGGUUUUUAAAAAAUAAUAAUCUGAUUUUGAAGGAAUGGGUUUCUGUGUAGCAAGUUUAAAACUGACUCAACCCCCCCUUUUGUUCUUUCAAAAGAAAUCAUUUUAAAAUGCAUAAAACUUGAGCUGUUGAGCAAAAGCAAAAUAAGGACACAAUUGCAUAAACAAGCUGUCUCCUUUAUCAGUCACGGCAAGGGAUGACCCUGACUUUUUAGGGGAACAAAGAAAACACGUCAAUACUUUAUCUUAUGUGCUCACCACAAAAUACGUGGGGACCGAUGUCCGGGGAAAACGCCAAAAGCGUGUUUCCGGAGAUUAUGACCUCUUCCCAGAUACGAGUAGGAAGAGAAAGAUCCUUUUAUGGUCAGAAGUACAGGAAGGAAGAUCAUUUUAUGGUUAAGAGUACCAGAGCAGGAACAUAUGUGAUGUCAACCUGCGUAUACAAGCUGACGUGACUGAGGAAGGGAGAACAGGGUGUCUGGAGGAUAUACCAUAUUUUUUGCUCUAUAAAACUCACUUUUUCCCUCCUAAAAAGUAAGGGGAAAUGUGUGUGCGUCUUAUGGAGCGAAUGCAGGCUGUGCAGCUAUCACAGAAGCCAGAACAGCAAGAGGGAUUGCUGCUUUCACUGCGCAGUGAUCCCUCUUGCUGUUCUGGCUUCUGAGAUUCAGAAUAUUUUUUUCCUUGUUUUCCUCCUCCAAAAACUAGGUGCGUCUUGUGGUCUGGUGCGUCUUAUAGAGCGAAAAAUACGGUAUAUACUGCAUGAAACUUCUCAUUUCUUUGGACUUGCUGUGGACUUGAUCACGCAAGUGCCUUCUGCUAUCCGGAGAGCAGAAUAAACUCUUUCUUUGAACCAACUCAGUGUCAUUUGACUUCCUUCCUCCUGUCCCGGAGCAACGCAGACCCAAUUGGUGCACUCCAAUAAGGCUACAAUUUUUUUAAAAAAAUCAUUGGUUUUUAUCCACCCUGGUAUAGAAAUUCAAAAAGACAUAACAUAAUAACCAACAAAACAAUACGCCCCCCCCUUUAAAAGACUAAAUGUUAGGUUCUGUGGUUGCAUCCUAGCAGGCCUUUCAAAACAUCCACUUGUUGGAUAAUAUUCUAAAAUAGUCACAUGCACUCAGGCAUCUCUCUGAUCAGGGGUUUGGUGUAUACCAGGUACUUAGCAGGCCUUAAGCAACAAUGAAGACCAUUUCAUGUUGGAAACAGGGAACCAUAUGUUUUGUUGCAGGUGCAGUGAGACGCAGUGGUAAUGAGGAUGGGGAAUGAGGAUGAGUUGGGAACGAAGAGGCGAGGUGAAAAGAGCAACAGCCUACCAUGUUGGGGGCUCCAAAUCUGACACUGAG